Molecule: non-coding RNA, 73 nt
Organism: Ameiurus melas (black bullhead)
Lineage: Eukaryota; Metazoa; Chordata; Actinopteri; Siluriformes; Ictaluridae
Source: the annotation of a GenBank genome assembly
UGCACGGUGGUUUAGUGGAUCACACGUUCGGUUCAAACCUCCAGGGUUGUGGGUUCGAUUCCCGCCACAGCCC